Parus major (Great Tit) is the source of this 3887-nucleotide long non-coding RNA. RefSeq lists it as uncharacterized. NCBI's taxonomy places the organism in Eukaryota, Metazoa, Chordata, Aves, Passeriformes, Paridae. The transcript is spliced from 4 exons. The record is from RefSeq and is a predicted model, not a curated record.
GACUUCAGGCUAGCCUGGCUCCCAGUUCUAUUGGUGUAUUUCUUUUGUCAUCAAAUAAAGGGUUUGGCUUCUUGUUUUUACCGUCUCACGAGAGUCCGGGCCCCGUUUUUGACAGGGGCAGGAUCUCCUCCCUGACCUCUGCCCGCUCUCUGCCCCAGGCUCCCUGCUGGCCCCAGGACACUUGGUCAGCUCACGGCCACCUUGGCCCCCAGCAGCACCCCCAGUCCCUCCCCACAGAAAAACUUUGUCAGACGCUCCAGGAGGGUUGGUCACCGUGAAAUACCUGUCACGUCAAUGGAUUUCACUGAAUACAUCAACAGAGGAACAUUGCUUGACAUUACCUUCACUGAAACAUUUGAUACAUCCGCGUUCAAUACAAUUUAGUACAGGAGUAAAAUAUUUUCCUUUGCCCCGGGGAAAAAGGAAAAAAAGAGGAAGAAAAGGACCAGGCUACACUUCACAGGUUUUAUUGAAGUGAACUUUUAGAGCAAAACAAUCAAGAAAAAUUCAUUUUACUACUAUCAUUCCCAGCUGAAGAAAAAUGUUCUUUUCAAAAUUUAGAGGCUCUCUUUGAAAGAAAGAAAAGAAAAAAAAAGCGAUUUUCACUCAUCUGGAGAAAUGCCUGCUGGUUUACACAGGAUGAGAGGUCUGGAUGACAGAAAAACUGCAGUCCUUUCAGGAAAGGUGUUAAUCAACUGCGUAAAUUGCUACUUAAUCACAACUGGAAAUCCUGGUCAGUCCUUCAGGAGCUGAUUUCUCCAGCAUGGAUCAGUUCCAUGGGGUGAGUCCUCCAGGAAUGGAUUUCUCCAGCAUGGAUCACUUCCAUGGUGUCAGUCCUUCAGGAAUGGAUUUCUCCAGCAUGGAUCACUUCCAUGGGGGUCAGUCCUUCUGGAACCUUCUGUGGGCUCCUCAUGUGGGUCCUUCUUCCACAGGGUCAGUCUGUCUGGAAUGGAUUCCUCUAGCAUGGAUCACUUCCAUGGGGGUCAGUCCUGCAGGAGUUGAUUUCUCCAGCAUGGAUUACUUCCAUGGGGUGAGUCCUCCAGGAAUGGAUUUCUCCAGCAUGGAUCACUUCCAUGGGAUCAGUCCUUCUGGAACCUUCCAUGGGUUCCUCAUGUGGGUCCCUCCCACAGGGUCAGUCUUUCAGGAAAAGGCUGCUGCUGGGUGGUUCUCCCAUGGGAUCAGUUCUUCAGACACAUCCUGCUCCUCUGUGGGGCCCUUCCCGUGGUGUCAGCCCCUCAAAAGCAGGCUGCUCCAGCAUGGGCCUCUCCCAUGAGGUCACAAGUCGUGGGAUCAACCCUGCUCCAUCGUGGGUUCCUCUUCCCACCAUGAAAUAGGAUGAAAAACAGGAAGUUCUGCCCCAAAUAAUAUUGACAGUCCAAAUAUUCCGUGAUUGCAGGACACUUAAGGAAAUAUCUGCUUUCCACUACAGGAUCAUUUUACUCUCCAUGGUGUAAAAGAUAUUAUACAGUUUGUGGACAAAAGAAAUACUUUUAGGUAUUAUUAAUAGAUGAUUUUUCAUUUUGCAUCUUAAUUCACACCCUUAUAACUACACAGGAAAAAGAAAUUGUAUUUCCUACAGCUACUUUUUUUUCUGGAAGAAUUAUACAAAGGAGAAAAAUAUAAAGGAAAGUCGAAGCUUAUUUCCCUUUUCUGUUUUCUAUGCUCUGUACUUCAUAAGAAUGGAAAUACUGGUAUUUUCUUUGGAAUCACAUAGCUAUAAAAGUAUUCAAAAAGUAGGGAAUCUAUUCAAAUCUAUUUUUUAACUUUUUUAAAGGUGGAAAUGGGAAGAAUAAGAAUAUUUAUUUUCAAAUCAGCUACAUCAGCUGUAAAAUGAAAUAUCUGGGAAACGUCUCACAUUAGUCACUGUAUACAAGUUGUCAGUAUUCUUUUUGUUAAACACAUAAUUGCAGAGUGCUCAUAACUAUGAGAUCUAUCAAAAAAUGUGAUUAAUUACAGACAUUCAUGUAGGCUGUUCAAAAAAUGCUGUGAUUUUGCCAGUAUUUCUUGAAGGCAAUGAUUUCAGGCUUUGUAGUCUCUCAAUGCAGUAAUGAACAGGGCAAGAAGAAGACUUAAAAAAUAAAUAUAUAAAAUGUAAUAAUUAAAAAAAGCCAAAAACUUUCACCAAGUAGAUUUAACAAGGCAAUCCAAAGCUAAUGGGAAGGCACCCUUAAAGGCAACCAAGCUGAUGUGGCAAUUUCAGGGGUAGACAGGUCAGUGACAACUUCUACAUCUAUGACUGUGGUUUGAAGGAGGUAUUUUGACAUGGAGGCAAUCCUGGCCUCCAAAUAUCUUUAGGAAAAAAAACCAUUCCAUUUUCAUCUAAAGAAUUCGUGUUUCCAAGAAGAGGAAGGGGACACUUACAUAUACAACAACAUCUGGUGCAUCUUUCUCCAAGCGGAAAAGAUACUGUGGUGUGAGUCCAGGGCAUGGAACAGGCUGUCCAGGGAUGUGGCUGAGUCAUCACUUCUGGAGGCACUUAAAAAAUGUGUAAAUUUGGGUCUGACAAGUUUGUGGUUCCCAUAGAUCUCCUUUCUGCUCCUUUUAAUAACGGGUGCAUCAUUUCCCUUUCUCCUGCCCCCAAGGACAUCACUUGUGUGUCACAACUUGUCAGGUGUCAUGGAGAGUGGCUUGGACACUGCAACUAUCCUCUGCAGUCCGGGAUGUACCUUGUCAGGAACCACAGGUUUGUACGUGUUCAUGUCUGUCUCAACCUGACAUUCUCCUGUGAUGGGAUCAACUUCACUCCUCCAGCCCCUGUCUUGAUUUUCAGGGGCUUGAGCAAUGUGGGAGGAUGGAUUACUGUUGAAAACUGAGGGGAAAGCAGAUUUAUUGAGCACUCAUGUUCCCCAUGUUGGCUGUCACCAGCUUUCCUGUCUUAUUUACAGGGAACCAAGGUGGGAACCUUUUCUUUCACACCUGUUUUCUGGCCAGUGUACUUUGCAAAAGCUCUCAUUCCUCAAAUUCCUUGCCAAAUUCUGUUCCAGCUCUGCUAUACCUUUCCUAACCCCAUCUCUCCACAUCCAGGCAGUGUCGACAUAUUCUUCCCAGUACAGACAUCCCUAAGUUCCAUUACCUGGGUAUUUCCUUCUUACACCUUAGUUUGAGCAAAAAGUCCUUCCUGAGCCAUGCUGGUCUCUGCCUCUGUUGACCAAUGUUUUACAUGUCAGAAUUGAGAGCUCUUGCACUUAAGAAAAUUGCCCUUAAAAAACUGCUGGUUUGGUUUUCCUCCUUUUUCUCCAAGGGCAGUGGAUUCCUAAGGAAUCCCAUCCACUAGUUACUUAAAACUCAAGAAGUUUGUUCUCCUUAAAUUCAGGAUCCUGACUACACCUGGCCAAUGUCUUUCAUUGUUGUGUGUUACUCCAGGCCACAGCCACUCUAGCAAAUGCUGCUACCAACACUGACAUCUCUAAUUAAUUCUUCCAUGUUGGAACAGGUCCAGCAAUGCUCCUGAGGUGAAUUCUAUCAUUCCCAAACGCUUCUCAAAGGUUUAUCCAUGACUGUAAGAGGCAAAAUCUUGAGUGUGGCACUGUUCACACUUUCAAUGUUCCUUCCUAAACCCCUGAGGUCAGACUGGAAGGAUAGAGGAUAACACCCCCAGUGCUCCACAUCCUUUUAAAAUUUUACUCAAAGGGGACACACAGCCUGUUCUGGUGGUUCUAAUUUGCCACAUUGUUGGACCUGGUGUGGGAUUUUAGGAGCAGACUUGUAGGAGUCAUCAAACCCCCAGCAGGCAGAACAUUGCUGUAGAGAAAACUGUCUGCAUGGCAAAUGAGUGUUUUGGUGCCUCCCAGUAAGAAAUCCCCAGUAACUGAUGGUUCCUAUGUUUUGGUGGGUGGUUGCAGCAGCUUGGCAUGGUUGGCUUCUCCUGGAUCCUGUCCAUCACUCAU